GAGUUUGAUCCUGGCUCAGGAUGAACGCUGGCGGCGUGCCUAAUACAUGCAAGUCGAGCGAACAGAUAAGGAGCUUGCUCCUUUGACGUUAGCGGCGGACGGGUGAGUAACACGUGGGUAACCUACCUAUAAGACUGGAAUAACUCCGGGAAACCGGGGCUAAUGCCGGAUAAUAUUUAGAACCGCAUGGUUCUAAAGUGAAAGAUGGUUUUGCUAUCACUUAUAGAUGGACCCGCGCCGUAUUAGCUAGUUGGUGGGGUAAUGGCUUACCAAGGCAACGAUACGUAGCCGACCUGAGAGGGUGAUCGGCCACACUGGAACUGAGACACGGUCCAGACUCCUACGGGAGGCAGCAGUAGGGAAUCUUCCGCAAUGGGCGAAAGCCUGACGGAGCAACGCCGCGUGAGUGAUGAAGGUCUCCGGAUCGUAAAACUCUGUUAUUAGGGAAGAACAAAUGUGUAAGUAACUGUGCACGUCUUGACGGUACCUAAUCAGAAAGCCACGGCUAACUACGUGCCAGCAGCCGCGGU
RNAcentral lists this ribosomal RNA (530 nucleotides) under uncultured bacterium. RNAcentral's name for it is "bacterial SSU rRNA". It matches the Rfam family "Bacterial small subunit ribosomal RNA", at positions 9 to 521 of the family's 1533-position model. The record is from RNAcentral.